Molecule: non-coding RNA, 631 nt
Organism: Paramuricea clavata
Lineage: Eukaryota; Metazoa; Cnidaria; Anthozoa; Malacalcyonacea; Plexauridae
Source: the annotation of a GenBank genome assembly
GAUAUUGAGUAUGCAUAUUCAGAUUUAAGUAUUGAAAACAUUUCCAUGCUUGAUGAAUCGAUCAAUUCUGUGUGGAAUGAACUCAGAGAGGACUCUUCAUUUAAUAGCAUGUUUGACAGUCUAAAUGUAACUGCUGAUGACACUACAGAUGACUGCAAUGACAUGUCUGACACUGAGUCAAACCAUUCUGGUAACAAUAGUCUAUUUCAAAUGUUAGUUGAUUAGGGUUAUUGUAUAUUAAGUGUACACUGUAUAUUGCAUUGGGGAUCUUUAACUUCAAUAUAUCCACACCAUCAGUGAUCCACACAUACAGAUGUGAAGUCCAUGUAAUAGUUAUAAAAUGAUUUUGGUUUACAAAAUCGUAUACAUUCAUACCUUCAAUUAUACCCUUUUCAAAAAUUAACACAUUGAACUAUAAUGUGCCCUAAUGUACUUUACUUUUGUGGUGUGUCUAAUCCCAGACAAUUUUACUUAUCAAGGAAGAAGUUGGGUGUUAAAGCACUUCAGCAUUACUUUUAUAAUUAAAAUUGUAUGGGAAUUUAUAGUCAGAUAAAAGUUUUAAAAUUGCAUUGCUUUUGGACAUGUGUCAUAAGAAUAACAUUUUCCAGGCAUGCAUAUGUAUAUACCUGUA